UGGCGAUGAAGAAUCAAAGGCCGGACUUAUGGCUGCCAUUUCACUUACUGGUAGUAGAGUAGUUGAUGAAUGAUUUUGUCAAGGUAUAUGUUCUGAGCCAG
This is a small nucleolar RNA of Prosopis cineraria, 101 nucleotides long. RefSeq annotates it as small nucleolar RNA snoR113. NCBI's taxonomy places the organism in Eukaryota, Viridiplantae, Streptophyta, Magnoliopsida, Fabales, Fabaceae. The record is from RefSeq and is a predicted model, not a curated record. The transcript has a single exon.